Ameiurus melas (black bullhead) is the source of this 74-nucleotide non-coding RNA. The record is from the annotation of a GenBank genome assembly. NCBI's taxonomy places the organism in Eukaryota, Metazoa, Chordata, Actinopteri, Siluriformes, Ictaluridae.
GGCAGUAGUAGCUCAGUGGUUAAGAUGUUGGACUACUGCUUGGAUGGUUGUGAAUUCAAAUCCCAGCUUUGCCA